UACGGGAGGCAGCAGUGGGGAAUAUUGCACAAUGGGCGCAAGCCUGAUGCAGCCAUGCCGCGUGUAUGAAGAAGGCCUUCGGGUUGUAAAGUACUUUCAGUCGUGAGGAAGGUGUUAAGGUUAAUAACCUUAGCAAUUGACGUUAGCGACAGAAGAAGCACCGGCUAACUCCGUGCCAGCAGCCGCGGUAAUACGGAGGGUGCGAGCGUUAAUCGGAAUUACUGGGCGUAAAGGGCACGCAGGCGGUUAAUUAAGUUGGAUGUGAAAUCCCCGGGCUUAACCUGGGAAGUGGCAUUCAAGACUGGUUAGCUAGAGUCUUGUAGAGGGGGUAGAAUUCCAUGUGUAGCGGUGAAAUGCGUAGAGAUGUGGAGGAAUACCGGUGGCGAAGGCGGCCCCUGGACAAAGACUGACGCUCAUGUGCGAAAGCGUGGGGAGCAAACAGGAUUAGAUACC
RNAcentral lists this ribosomal RNA (453 nucleotides) under uncultured bacterium. RNAcentral's name for it is "bacterial SSU rRNA". It matches the Rfam family "Bacterial small subunit ribosomal RNA", at positions 340 to 786 of the family's 1533-position model. The record is from RNAcentral.